Molecule: ribosomal RNA, 521 nt
Filed under: uncultured delta proteobacterium
Lineage: Bacteria; Deltaproteobacteria
Description: bacterial SSU rRNA
Rfam family: Bacterial small subunit ribosomal RNA
Source: RNAcentral
AACGAACGCUGGCGGCGUGCUUAACACAUGCAAGUCGUACGAGAAAUCCCGGGCAACUGGGAGAGUAAAGUGGCGCACGGGUGAGUAACGCGUGGGUAACCUACCCUUGAAUUGGGGGAUAACUCCGCGAAAGCGGGGCUAAUACCGAAUAAUAUUUUGAGGUCUCCGGACCUUAAAUCAAAGAUGGCCUCUGCAUGCAAGCUAUCGUUUAAGGAUGGGGCCCGCGUACCAUUAGCUUGUUGGUAGGGUAAUGGUCUACCAAGGCAACGAUGGUUAGCUGGUCUAAGAGGAUGGCCAGCCACACUGGAACUGAGAUACGGUCCAGACUCCUACGGAGGCAGCAGUGGGGAAUCUUGCGCAAUGGGGGAAACCCUGACGCAGCAACGCCGCGUGGGUGAUGAAGGCCUUCGGGUCGUAAAGCCCUGUCAGGUGGGAAGAACCUCGUCGGUGCCAAUAUCACCGACGCUUGACGGUACCACCGGAGGAAGCACCGGCUAACUCCGUGCCAGCAGCCGCGGUAA